Long non-coding RNA from Pseudophryne corroboree (corroboree frog), 539 nucleotides. RefSeq lists it as uncharacterized. NCBI's taxonomy places the organism in Eukaryota, Metazoa, Chordata, Amphibia, Anura, Myobatrachidae. The transcript is spliced from 3 exons. The record is from RefSeq and is a predicted model, not a curated record.
ACUGUAUUGGCAUGCUUGGGUCAACAGCUGUCAGUUGCAGUGUGAUGGAUGGCUGUUGGUCUGGGCCCUGCUGGUCCACGGCGGACAUCAAGUUGUGCUCUGUAUGGGAUAACUGAGGUGAUCUGGGCUCAUCACUCUGCGAACUCGCCAAUAGUGCCAGUGGUGGCUGGGGUGACACUGCCGAAAGUCUUCGCCUGGGUGGGGAUGAUGGAGGUGCGGAAUCAGACCCAAGACGCCGUGUCUUAGUUGGCCUCCUGGAAUAUGUGACUACAGUGAAGACUUACCUGCAAUCCCUGCCUCAUCCUGACUUGUCUGAGGCCUGUCUGGGUGGCUGGUCUGUGUGACUGUUGAAAAAGUGACCCCAACAUUAUUACCAUGUAUUUUGAAAAAUGACCCACUGAAACCCAUUAAUGUACUGUAAGCAUCUAUUAGGUAUUGUUUCAAACAAAUAUUUAAGCUUAAGUGCUUCUUGAUUCCUGAUUUUUAGUUGUAUAUUAAAAUGCACUUGAUGUGGCACACAAUAAAUGUAUCCAAAAUUU